AAAAUUCGAUGAUAAUCCGGCAAGUAUAAUUUCCACCUUCUCCGCCGCCGGAACCGCAGAUCUAGAUACAUCAAGCAACACACAGGUAUUUUGUAUUUUCGUUACAUAUUAUUUGACAGUCAUGACUCCUUUCUUGAUUGAAUGAAGUUCAUGCCUUAUUUGAGAUACUUUUGCUCCAGUGGCAGUGACAAAAAAAUGAUUGGCCAUACUCCAAACAUCACAGGCAGAUUUGGCCGCUGUAAAACAAGAUAACAAAGAAGAACUAAUAGUAGAAAAAAGCCAAGAAGCAAGAAGCCUAUCUUGCUGGACGAAGACCGAGACAGUAGGAUUUGGAGUGAGAACCCCAUCGGGAGAGGAGAUGAAUCGAGGCAGAGCGAGUAACGCCCUUUCCAAAUAACCGAGUAACUCAUAUCCUUCAAUUAUUAGUCGUAUAUGCUGCUGUCAUUGGAUGAAAUUUCCUUCAUCCAAUUUCACCGUAUCAUGCGUAGGAAAAGUAUGAACCAACCGGACGUCGGAGAGAGCGGGAUUGCCAUGAUUAGCAGCGGUAGAGUUAGUAGAAUUUGCAAUGAACGCAGCGAGAAGAGCCUCCAAGAGCUUCAGGCGACUGAUACCAUGUUA
Molecule: long non-coding RNA, 618 nt
Filed under: Gossypium barbadense (sea-island cotton)
Lineage: Eukaryota; Viridiplantae; Streptophyta; Magnoliopsida; Malvales; Malvaceae
Description: long non-coding RNA (GBAR_LNC002683)
Source: RNAcentral